This 592-nucleotide ribosomal RNA is filed under the name Xanthobacter sp. S4-25. Its description in RNAcentral is "bacterial SSU rRNA". It matches the Rfam family "Bacterial small subunit ribosomal RNA", at positions 56 to 691 of the family's 1533-position model. Lineage: Bacteria; Pseudomonadati; Pseudomonadota; Alphaproteobacteria; Hyphomicrobiales; Xanthobacteraceae. The record is from RNAcentral.
UGCAAGUYGAGCGCCCAGCAAUGGGAGCGGCAGACGGGUGAGUAACGCGUGGGGAUGUACCCAAUGGUACGGAAUAACCCAGGGAAACUUGGAUUAAUACCGUAUGUGCCCUUCGGGGGAAAGAUUUAUCGCCAUUGGAUCAACCCGCGUCGGAUUAGCUAGUUGGUGAGGUAAAGGCUCACCAAGGCGACGAUCCGUAGCUGGUCUGAGAGGAUGAUCAGCCACACUGGGACUGAGACACGGCCCAGACUCCUACGGGAGGCAGCAGUGGGGAAUAUUGGACAAUGGGCGCAAGCUGAUCCAGCCAUGCCGCGUGAGUBAUGAAGGCCUUAGGGUUGUAAAGCUCUUUCGCCGGUGAAGAUAAUGACGGUAACCGGAGAAGAAGCCCCGGCUAACUUCGUGCCAGCAGCCGCGGUAAUACGRAGGGGGCUAGCGUUGCUCGGRAUCACUGGGGCGUAAAGCGCACGUAGGCGGGUCGUUAAGUCAGAGGUGAAAGCCUGGAGCUCAACUCCAGGACUGCCUUUCGAKUACUGGGCGACCUCGAGUUCGAGAGAGGUUGGUGGGACUBCCGMGUUKUAGAGGUGAAAUUCGU